AUUGAACGCUGGCGGCAGGCCUAACACAUGCAAGUCGAGCGGAGCGGCGGACGGGUGAGUAAUGCCUAGGAAUCUGCCUGGUAGUGGGGGAUAACGUCCGGAAACGGGCGCUAAUACCGCAUACUAUCAGAUGAGCCUAGGACGGAUUAGCUCGUUGGUGGGGUAAAGGCCUACCAAGGCGACGAUCCGUAACUGGUCUGAGAGGAUGACCAGCCACACUGGGACUGAGACACGGUCCAGACUCCUACGGGAGGCAGCAGUGGGGAAUAUUGCACAAUGGGCGCAAGCCUGAUGCAGCCAUGCCGCGUGAAUGAAGAAGGCCUUCGGGUUGUAAAGUACGUUCAGCGAGGAGGCGUUACUCGCAGAAGAAGCACCGGCUAACUCCGUGCCAGCAGCCGAGGUAAUAC
RNAcentral lists this ribosomal RNA (407 nucleotides) under uncultured bacterium. RNAcentral's name for it is "partial 16S ribosomal RNA". It matches the Rfam family "Bacterial small subunit ribosomal RNA", at positions 30 to 526 of the family's 1533-position model. The record is from RNAcentral.